This 1382-nucleotide ribosomal RNA is filed under the name metagenome. Its description in RNAcentral is "bacterial LSU rRNA". It matches the Rfam family "Bacterial large subunit ribosomal RNA", at positions 1537 to 2925 of the family's 2925-position model. The record is from RNAcentral.
AAAAUCCGGUAACCAUAAGGCUAGAGCGUGAUAGGUUAGCGAAAUCUUAGGAGAGUAGCGAAGCACAUGAUGACGGCUUCCAGGAAAAGCUUCUGGCAAUGCAUAUGCGGCCCGUACCAAAACCGACACAGGUGGGCAGGGAGAGAAUCCCGAGGUGAGCGAGAGAACUGUUGCCAAGGAACUCGGCAAAAUGACUCCGUAAGUUAGCGAGAAGGAGUGCUUAAGCAAUUAAGCCGCAGUGAAGAGGCCCAAGCGACUGUUUAACUAAAACACAGCUCUCUGCGAAGUCGCAAGACGAAGUAUAGGGGGUGACACCUGCCCGGUGCUGGAAGGUUAAGAGGAUCUGUUAAGAGCGAUCUGAAGCAGUGAUCCGAAGCCCCAGUGAACGGCGGCCGUAACUAUAACGGUCCUAAGGUAGCGAAAUUCCUUGUCAGGUAAGUUCUGACCCGCACGAAAGGUGUAACGAUUUGGGCGCUGUCUCGGCAGCAGACUCGGUGAAAUCUUAGUACCUGUGAAAAUGCAGGUUACCCGCAACUAGACGGAAAGACCCCAUGGAGCUUUACUGCAGCCUGAUAUUGAAUUCUGGUCAUACAUGUACAGGAUAGGUGGGAGACAAAGAGACGUGCACGCCAGUGUACGAGGAGUCGACGUUGGGAUACCACUCUUGUGUGACCGGGGUUCUAACCUGGUAUCGAGAACAGGUACGGGGAGAGUGUCAGGUGGGCAGUUUGACUGGGGCGGUCGCCUCCCAAAGAGUAACGGAGGCGCCCAAAGGUACGCUCAGAUUGGAUGGAAACCAAUCGUCGAGUGCAAUUGCAGAAGCGUGCUUGACUGUGAGACUUACAAGUCGAACAGGGACGAAAGUCGGGAAUAGUGAUCCGGCGGUGCCGAAUGGAAGGGCCGUCGCUCAACGGAUAAAAGCUACCCUGGGGAUAACAGGCUGAUCUCGCCCAAGAGUUCACAUCGACGGCGAGGUUUGGCACCUCGAUGUCGGCUCAUCGCAUCCUGGAGCUGGAUUCGGUUCCAAGGGUUGGGCUGUCCGCCCAUUAAAGCGGCACGCGAGCUGGGUUCAGAACGUCGUGAGACAGUUCGGUCCCUAUCUGUUGUGGGCGAAGGAGAUCUGCGGAGAGCUGUCCUCAGUACGAGAGGACCGGGAUGGACCUACCGCUGGUGCACCGGUUGUUCCGCCAGGGGCAUAGCCGGGUAGCUAAGUAGGGAAAGGAUAAGCGCUGAAAGCAUCUAAGCACGAAGCCUACUCCAAGAUGAGAUCUCCCAUUCGCAAGAAGUAAGACCCCUUAAAGACGAUAAGGUAGAUAGGCCAGAGAUGGAAGUGCAGUGAUGUACGGAGUUGACUGGUACUAAUCGGUCGAGGACUUAAUCGA